RNAcentral lists this long non-coding RNA (3297 nucleotides) under Homo sapiens (human). Its description in RNAcentral is "HSALNT0127971". Lineage: Eukaryota; Metazoa; Chordata; Mammalia; Primates; Hominidae. The record is from RNAcentral.
GACUUGUGGCACUACACUUAACUGGUUCUUAAAUCUUUUUCUCAGUUGUUACUGCCUCUAUGGCUAACCCAGCUGACCCUUGACGCCUUCUCUGUGAGCUUGUUCUCUCCUGUAGCUCUUGUUUGAAUACUUUGAAGUGCUCUAUAAGUAUUUCCAUUUUACAGAUUGUCAUGAGGGAGUUCCAGCUACAAGUCAAUAUUUUCACAUUUUUUUCAGCUCUAACAAAUAGAGUAUAACCCUAGAGCAUGUUGGUGUUGAGGUCCUCUACCCACAAGGCAGCACUAACCCAGCCAACGUCUCCAAGAGUCCGAAUUUUUCAUAAAGAGGUCAAACCUCCUUGAUAUGCUAAACCUGGGGAUAACCAUUCCGCUCUUUUCCCCUAUCUACACUGUACCGUGGCUCUCCAAUGCCUUUCUCGUACACAUCUUGGCACAAGACCUAAUCAGCAGGCUCAUUGCCAAAGAAGAUGUCCAACAGUUACAUUCCCAAUCUUUAAUAAGGAUUCUCCUUGAAUCAAAAUGUUUUGCUUUUCCUACAAAAUGUAGGUCUUACACAUUUCCAAGGAUAUUUGCAAGGACCAUAGGGAGUAGAAGUUGGCUAUCUGUGUCCUGCUAUAUCAACUUGGUUUAAAGAUUGCAAAAAGAAUUGGAGAGGCCCGUGGGAAAACAUGAAACCAUAAAAAGUGAACUUAACCAGGAAUAAGACAAGGAAGUCUGGAUUUGCGAGAACUUUAUGAAUUAAGGAAUCCAAUCUAGAGCCACUGAUCUCCUGUAUUCUUUACAUUUGGAGGAAUCAACCAUGAAGGAGUUGGCCACGGUGUCAGCAUGUGAAGGCAGAGGAACUCCAGCUCAGAGAGAGGCUUCCCUGGAUCCACUUGCCUCAACGACCCUCUGAUGGAAUCCAGGGGAGAUCAAACAAUGGAUGUGAUCAAGAAACAAACAAAUGGAGAAUGAAGAAAGAGCAAAGAGACAAGAAUAACAAAGAUACAGCAUAAGAAUAUGAAUUGAGCUGUUUUUUCUAAUGUACUUUGGACAUAUAAGAGGCAUCUUCAUCUCAGAAAUUGACCUUGGACUUAUCUAGCAUAUUAUUCUUUUGUUGAACAACGUUAAACAUCUGCUUACCAAAUAUUUGCUGCCAUUCUAAAAACUUCUAAGCACUGUGCUCAAUAGAAAACUGAAGUAUUUCACAAAAUCUAUUCUCAUAGUAGCUUUUUAAAAAAGAUAUUUCUGAUUACAUGUUCCACUUGUGCACCUGAGCACCUAGAGAAAGGAGACCUUGGGAGGACUAUUUCUAACCAGCAACUGAAAACAUCAACAUUCUUAUUCCCAUAACCACACUUACUUCAGUAUAAUAGGUGAUUUCACCUUUCUUAGAAGAUUGAGUUUAUUGACUUGCCCAAAUAAUGUAAUAAUGGGGUAAGUGUGUGUAUUAGUCCAUUUUCAUGCUGCUAUGAAGACAUACCUGAGACUGGGUAAUUUAUAAAGAAAAGAGGUUUAAUUGGUUCACAGUUCUGCAUGGCUAGGAAUCCUCAGGAAACUUAUAAUCAUGGUGGAAGAUGAAACAGGCACAUCUUACAUGGUGACAGGCCUUACUCAGAAAGCACCCUGCGCUGGCAUUUCAUAAGUAAACAGAAGAAAUGUCCUACUUGCAAAACUCUGAAUAUAGCUGAAUCCCUCAAGGGCAUAGAGGUUUAAGCAUACAGAAGUCAAAGGCAACCUUUUUGUUCUGUGAAGGUGCUGCCAUUAGGCAGCUGAGGACCAGCUGUGGGACCAACAGUCUUGGGUUGGAGCCUUUUUGAGAUAAAGGAAAGACAAUACCUUGGACUUAAAUAAGCAAUUCUGCUUUCCAAGUGUUGGUAGGCAGAACAAUGAUCCCCCCAGAAUAUUCACAUUUUGACUCCUGGACUUGUGAAAAUGUUAUGUUAAAUGGCCAAUGGAAGAAAAGUUACAUAUGAAAUUAAGGUUCCUAAUUAACUGACUUUAAGGUAAGAAUAUUAUGCCUGAUUUACCUGUGGGCCCAAUGUAACUGCAAGGGCCCUUAAACAAGGAAGAGGGAAGCAGAAGUGCCAGAACCAGAGGGAUAGCAUCAUGAGAAGGAUUUAACUGGCCAUUGCUGGCUUUGAAGAUGUAAGAGGGUCAAGAGACAAGAAAUGUGAGUGACCUCUAGAAGCUGGAAAAGGCAAGUAAAUGGAUUCUCUCCGAGUGUCUGCAGAAAGAAAAGCAGCCUUUUCAUCAACUUGAUUGUCACUCUGUGAGACUGAUUUUGGACUUCUGACUUCCAGGACCCUAAGAUAACAAAUUUGUGUUGUUUUUAGAACAAAGUUCCUGGUAAUUUGUUACAUCAAUAAUAAGAAAUGGACACAUCAAGAAAAUUUAAAAAGGAGAAAAGAACAAAUAAAAAGAGUAACAUAAAGACUAGAUGAGCACAGGGAACUCGCAUGUGUGCACAUUCCACAAAAGAAGCUAUAACGUGAUUACAGAAAGGAAGUCAUAAUAAACAAAUAAAUGUAUAUUGGAAAUAUGGAAAGGAAUACAGAGAACAAUGCAAUAUAAGGACAGACAAAGGCAUCCAGCUAUGAUUUUUCUCUCUUUAGCAGUUUGAAAGACAGAAAAUAUUCUUUUCUUUUUUUCGGUUCUGCAGUUCUGAAUUUUGAAAACUUUGCAAAAAAUUAAGCAUUCAAUUCAAAUGCCAAAUAAGAAAACUUUUAGUGCAAAUUCAAAGAAAAAUAAAAAUAGGUAUCUCAUAGUUUCAACAUAUGUUCAAAUCUUUCAAAUUUGAGCGAGAUAGGCAAGGUGCUUUAGGUUCCUUCGCUUCUCUCACUUCAAGCUAUUUGUUAGUUAGAAUGUUUGAUUUUCUGAUCCUCUGCCCAGAAAAAUGUAUUGCCAGUGGAAAGUAUUGUCAAUAAACAACCAUAGAAUUCUGCUUUAAAUCGUUCUGAUGCUUAUAAGAAAAGACACGAAUUCAUUUUGCAGACAUGCUUUUUCUGUUCACAAUUGCAAUUGAAAAUUGCAGUGAGCUACUUAAAAGCAGAACCGUUGAAUGGAACUUGUCUUAUAACAGAACCAGUUUUAAAUGGACAAUUGUAUACCUUAGAGCUGUCACCAGCCUUUAGCCUUGUACACAGCAUACAUGUAAUCAGUUGCCAUCAUACAUUGAAGAUAGUUAAGAAUAGAGUUACUGAGCAUCUAUUGUCAUCACAAAAAUGUGAAAGCUACUAAGGCAAAUAUGUGAAUAUAAACACAAUCCCUGGCCUCAAGGUAUUUAAAGUAAAAUUGUUCUAACUACAAUAAAAUUCAG